GCGAACGUGGUGGAAUUGGUAGACACGCCAUCUUGAGGGGGUGGUGCCUACGGCGUGAGGGUUCAAGUCCCUCCGUUCGCACCA
This 84-nucleotide transfer RNA is filed under the name Moraxella sp. RNAcentral's name for it is "tRNA-Leu". It matches the Rfam family "tRNA". From Rfam's summary of the family: Transfer RNA (tRNA) molecules are approximately 80 nucleotides in length. The record is from RNAcentral. Lineage: Bacteria; Pseudomonadati; Pseudomonadota; Gammaproteobacteria; Moraxellales; Moraxellaceae.